GCGGACGGGUGAGUAAUGUCUGGGAAACUGCCUGAUGGAGGGGGGAUAACUACUGGAAACGGUAGCUAAUACCGCAUAACGUCGCAAGACCAAAGAGGGGGGACCUUCGGGCCUCUUGCCAUCGGAUGUGCCCAGAUGGGGAUUAGCUAGUAGGUGGGGGUAAAGGCUCACCUAGGCGACGAUCCCUAGCUGGUCUGAGAGGAUGACCAGCCACACUGGAACUGAGACACGGUCCAGACUCCUACGGGAGGCAGCAUG
This 258-nucleotide ribosomal RNA is filed under the name uncultured bacterium. RNAcentral's name for it is "partial 16S ribosomal RNA". It matches the Rfam family "Bacterial small subunit ribosomal RNA", at positions 98 to 353 of the family's 1533-position model. The record is from RNAcentral.